CCUGUUGUUAACAUUUUUGAAUCCCACCACUGAGCAAUGUAUUCCACUGUCAAACAACCUUUACUGUCAGGAAGUUCUUCCUAAUGUUCAGGUGGAAUCUUUUUUCCUAUACCUUGUAUCCAUUACUCCUGGUGAUAGUCUCUGGAGCAGCAGAAAACAAGCUUUCACUCUCUUCAACAUGACAUCUCUUCAAAUAUUUAACCAUGAAAAAACAUUCAUUACAAAGAUUACAAAUCAAAGGUCAAGAAAUAGCAGUUCUUAAAAAAGUACCUAUCCAGGCGCUAAGGAGAAGAAAAAAAUAUGCUCCUUUGACAGACACCCUCAAAAAACAAAAUGUAAUGUUCAAAUGGAACUUGAUCAAAGGAAUAUCUCUGACUUUAAAGGUAAAAGAAAGAACAUUGACACUAUCUCAAAAGCCAAUGAUUUCUUUA
Molecule: long non-coding RNA, 431 nt
Organism: Sphaerodactylus townsendi
Lineage: Eukaryota; Metazoa; Chordata; Lepidosauria; Squamata; Sphaerodactylidae
Exons: 2
Source: RefSeq, a predicted model, not a curated record